RNAcentral lists this ribosomal RNA (321 nucleotides) under uncultured Undibacterium sp. RNAcentral describes it as "bacterial SSU rRNA". It matches the Rfam family "Bacterial small subunit ribosomal RNA", at positions 1050 to 1377 of the family's 1533-position model. Lineage: Bacteria; Pseudomonadati; Pseudomonadota; Betaproteobacteria; Burkholderiales; Oxalobacteraceae. The record is from RNAcentral.
UGUCGUCAGCUCGUGUCGUGAGAUGUUGGGUUAAGUCCCGCAACGAGCGCAACCCUUGUCAUUAGUUGCUACGAAAGAGCACUCUAAUGAGACUGCCGGUGACAAACCGGAGGAAGGUGGGGAUGACGUCAAGUCCUCAUGGCCCUUAUGGGUAGGGCUUCACACGUCAUACAAUGGUACAUACAGAGGGCCGCCAACCCGCGAGGGGGAGCUAAUCCCAGAAAGUGUAUCGUAGUCCGGAUUGUAGUCUGCAACUCGACUACAUGAAGUCGGAAUCGCUAGUAAUCGCGGAUCAGCAUGCCGCGGUGAAUACGUUCCCGG